GACUCGGCGGUGGAGCCGGCGGAGGCGGAGGCGCCGGAGCCGGCGGCGGUUUCGGAGGAGGCAAGGGCGGCGGCUUCGGCGGUGGCGUGGGCGGAGGAGGCGGCAAGGGCGGAGGCUUUGGUGGCGGAGUCGGCGGCGGAGGCGGUGCAGGUGGUGGCGCCGGCGGUGGCUUCGGCGGAGGCGCGGGAGGCGGAGCUGGAGGAGGCGCAGGUUUCGGCGGUGGAGCGGGUGGCGGAGCUGGCGCCGGUGGCGGCGGCGGAUUCGGCGGAGGAGGGGGCGCAGGCGGCGGCGGCGGCAUCGGCGACGGGCAGUGAUGCUCGCUCGCGCGAGGAACGGGCGGGCGCACGUACGUCGCGUCGCCUCCGUCCAUGCAGGAAGACGCGCGCGCCAUGAGGAGCCGAGCAACCAAUCUUGGUAGUCUACGUACGUACUCUAUAUGCGAAUAAUUUGUUGGGUGGUGAGCGAUGAUGAGUACUCUACAUGACAUUCCUUUUCCUUGUGUAUCCAUGAUAGUGUUACUACGACGAAUGUGCUAUUAUUUUGGAAGCCAAUAUAUGUUUCCACUUGUACCAAAGAUAUAUAAACAGAUUAAGAUUAUAUUACGCAGAGAGUGGGAGUGAUGCCUAUCUAUAUAUACCAUGUGUAGCAACAGUGCAAGCUUUGUCAAAAAAAAACACGUUUUGCCGUAGUAGUGUGGCGAUCGAUGCACAGCACAGCAGCAGGAGCUUUGUAGUGUGCGGACUGUGAAAGCAUCUUUGUAGAGUACAAGUCAGAGAGAGACAAUGCAAAGUGAUCGGCUCGGAUCCCGUUAUGGGAGCCAAAAAUGCUUCCAGUUUAAACCAAGCGCAACGGCAACGCUACUUUUGUGCCGCUCCUCGUCUGCCUCCUCUUUUCGAGCUAGCAUUAUUCCUCCUUUUUUUGAGGGAAAAUCACCCUCGCUGUGUUACUUGAUCUACAAUGUUCAAGGCUAUACAAGCAGUUUCCACAGCAAGUCUGGUCAGAGGGGGUAAACGGUGUUGGGUCCACUCUAAAUUGGGCCAGUUCGUCCUGCACUUCUGUUGUGGUUGGAUCGAGGAUUUGGUUAGUAGCAUAUUCACCAGUUUGUUCUGUUUAUAAAAACUCCCUUUGAUUCAUAAUAAUUGCUAUUAGUUCAAUUAUUAUGGAUCCGAGAGAGUACAAAAAUUGGAAAGUUCCUCGUCAGAGGGGUCAACCGGUCAGCUAAAACUUUGUCGGUUUUAUGAGGACAUUGACUCACGUUUCUGCCAGGUUUGAGGCCCCUUUGGACCCUGUCUGUUUUGGAUAGCGAGUUGGGAACUUAUCGACGUAUACAGGUCUACCACCAAGUUUCACGCAAUCUGGGUCAGUGGUUCAAUGGUUGUUGUAUGAACACUCAAGAGGGACAGAUUGCAUUCACUCCGUUUUAGUUGCAAGUUUUAGUCUUGCCGGUCCUCGCUUUAGUGGUGUUGCUAUUGUUGAUGUGAUGAUCCUUUGGCUUUUUGGUGGCUGUCCUUUUGGCGACCUUGUGUAUAUAUAGAGAGAGACAUGGAAUGAGCUUGGCACUUCACACCUUGACACGUCCCCUCUUACUAGCGCAGGAUUCCUACUAACUCAAACAAUAACCGGAACUUUCAAGCGGGAACACUAAUGUGCCUGAAUAAGAAUUGACACUUGCUCGUGAAAAUUGCCACCAUGAAAUUCGUUGUCAAUACAUACAAGCAAAAGUCAUGCAAAUAGAAACCGAGUAUUUUUCUUCCAUACAAUCCACGAAUGGAUCAUGUUCCACUACCAGCAAAGAUAGUGGAACAAAAGAGCAACCCAAAAGGACUUUUAGCAUCAGCAAAAGGAAAGUAAAAAGGCUACAAAAGAGUAUGUAGGUUGGUACCGCAUAGAGCUAACGGUAAAAGGGGAACGAAUANNNNNNNNNNNNNNNNNNNNNNNNNNNNNNNNNNNNNNNNNNNNNNNNNNNNNNNNNNNNNNNNNNNNNNNNNNNNNNNNNNNNNNNNNNNNNNNNNNNNNNNNNNNNNNNNNNNNNNNNNNNNNNNNNNNNNNNNNNNNNNNNNNNNNNNNNNNNNNNNNNNNNNNNNNNNNNNNNNNNNNNNNNNNNNNNNNNNNNNNNNNNNNNNNNNNNNNNNNNNNNNNNNNNNNNNNNNNNNNNNNNNNNAAUAUUCCCCCAGUCCAACUGUCAUCAGAAUGACCAGCUUCGAAGCUAGUGUUCUAACAUCACACGACCUUCUUCGUUUUGUAAACAUGCCCAGUAGUGCAUAAACGAGCAUGCAUGAUAAAUUAACUCAGUACAAAAUCGAACUCUUUUUUCUCAAAAUAUGCUCUGUUAAGCAAUUUUCAGAUAUCGCGAAGACAACGUUCCUAGGCUUGGAUCACCAAUUACGUAUGCGGGUGUUACUUAUGAUGGCAAGUGGAUUUUGGAACGACAUGCACAUACUUGGUUUGUAUUCUUCCACUAUUCUCCUGUGAAAUGCAUUUGGAAUAUUACUUGCAGAUGUUUUGGAGGCAGUAGUAGACCUGGUUGCUUUACUCAAUACUUUUUGGUGGAUCCUCAGUUUCUUGCCCGGUAGCAUAAAGUUGCACAUUGUGGGUUUGGCUGUUGUAUAUAUGAUGGGCUUCUAGUUCAACUCUUAUUCAGGCACAUAAAUCGAACGAUUCCAAGUACUUGCAAAGCACUGGAAGUUGGUGACCCGUGAGAGCCGAUGGCCAUGUGACAAGGCAAGACUCGGAGGAGCUACCGAUUGUCCACACCAAAGCCCAAAGGCAUGUGAGGAUUCAAGGAGCUAGUGCUCCCGGCAUGAGGGGGCGACAUUGCAGGCCGCGCCAUAUGCGCAGGAAGAAGUCCUUCCCUACCCUGCAUGCGUCGGCGAGGACCGUUGGGCGACGGCAUCACGAGGGUGUCCGGGAGAGACCAUAGCUAGCGAGUCAAUGGCAGCUACGUGGAAGGAACAUGAGGUGGGAAGAGAGGAUUGGAGUUGGGGAUAGUGGGGUGGGAGAGGUGCAUGGUGGGUGAUGAUUAGUUUAUGUUGCCGCGUAUGGGGUCGGGGGGCGAAGAGAAAAAAUAUCAUUGCGUGUGACGGACAGAGAAACCGGAGGAGAUGGAAACAGCUGACGAAAAUAAACUGGUGGACGUUUAUUUAUUUAUUAUAAUUUUUAGCUGGAUUUAUUUAUUAUAUUUUUUGAGCUGGAUUUGUUUAUUAGUAUAUUUUUAGGGGAAUUUAUUUAUUAUAUUUUUUUGAGGCAAAUUUAUUUAUUAUAUAAACAGAAGAGAUAACAGGCACAGGGGUAAAUGGGUCGGCCCAAUAGGUGAUCCUAUUGUACAAUAGCACACGGGGUGCACAAAUGCAGGCCCUGAGAAGAUGGGCCACGAACUUAAUCACUCUGGCCCAGCUAGAACGAAAAAUCCAUUAUGAUGAAAAUUAUAAAGGGGAAAUCGUUUUAGAAAGACAGAAAAGAUUAAUUCGGAACACACCCUCGAUGUGCCGCCUUAGACCAACUCGGCCAUCCCAACAAUUGUUAACAAUACUAUAUUGCAUUAAAUAUAUAAUUUAAUUACGACUAUUAGGACAAAUCGAAGCAUAUCCUGUCGGUCGGUCUACACAUUGGAAGCCUGAAAGUUAGUCGUCGGCCAGAGACAAUGUCUACCUCACCCUCACAAUUGGCGAACGCCCCACUAAGCACCAGUUCCUCUCUAAAAGAAACUAGCAGUCCAGUAUGUUUGGCUUUACAUCUAUUUUUGUAUUUUAGUAAAAAGAAAAAGGAACCAAAGAUAUUCUGCCUAACUCGAGAUAGAUGGUUGUAGAAACGCAAACAAAGCCAGAAUUUCUUUCAUCAGGAGGUUUCUGUUUUCAGCAGUCUCGACCAUCUGGCGCCUCCUCUCGGAUCAAACUUCAUGCAAUAACCAGCAGGGUCCUCCCUUGGUAUGGAACCCAAUCAUAAACCAACUCGUGGUUGCGUUCUCGAAUUAAGCUUGAUUUCAUUCCACUUGUGACCUGCUGAAGGAAUGAUCAUAAAUAUUUGCCCAAACCAACGUCUAAGCCUCCUUUUCCUGGUCGCCCAAGUAGCUUUGCUAUGUUAACUGAAACUCUCUGUUCACAUUCUCCAACUUCUACAGCGAAAGCACCAUGCAUCCCUUGAUCAUGUAAAUAGGAGGUUUCGCCCAAGCUUGCGAAGGAACAGUAGCAGCUGCCUUUCAUAAUUCUCAGUGUAGUAGGUGCUACUUACGGGUUACGGGUCGGCAUCGUAGGGAGCACAGCUACCUUGCUGCGACGGAACAAGCAGGAUUGGCUUUCCACGCUUCUUGAACUCAAAGACUGCAGGAAAGAUAGUGCUCGACAAUUGCAGGUUGCCCAUCAGGUCUAGUCGCGUCAAGUUACCUACAAAAUACCCACUGGUUAUUGGCUACUCUCCUUGGUGCAUGCCCAUUAGGUUAGGCCUUGAACAUAGUUAAGGAAAAUACGAAGAAGCAUGCUUCUUACAUGUUGUUUGCUUCAAUGCAUUACAAAUCACUUCCAACGAUUCAGGAGGUAGAAGGUUAGAUCCUGCAUUGACUGAUAUAAGGUUCGGCGCUUGCAGUAUCAGCCUGGAAACGAAGUGCGCAGUACCCAUCCCACCGCGGUUCUUACUGCAACAUGAAAUUUGAAGUGGGUAAGGAAACUUGCACAUCAAGCAUGCAUCAUUGAGACUCGGGCAGAGUUUAUUUCUACCUGAUGUUGAUGUGGGAGAGAUUUACUUUCCUUGGCAAUGCUUCCUCAAGUAUUUGGAAGCCUAUUGGUCCUAGGCCGAUGUCUUCAACAUUUAGCUCCCUUACAUGUGAACCCAGGAAUUUCACUAAUGUAGCUGCCACAGAACUGCAAAUUCAUCUCUGUUCAGAAUGUGACCCAAGCUAAAGAAACAACAGAAACUCUGCUCCGGGAGAAAGGACUUACCUCCCAAGAUGAUUAUCUGCUAUAGACAGCAUAUCAAGUGGUUUAUUAAUCGGUGCGAGGCACUCAAGAAGUUUAGUCACACCAAUACUGGACAAAUCGCAGUUCUCUGCUCUUAAUUUCCGAAUGGGAUUCCCCCUUUGAAGAGCCAAUUCAAAGAAAGGAAUAAGGUAUCUGCAAUGUUUAUGUGUAAUCCUUAGUACUUAUUGAUAGAACACAACAGAGUCCACAAGGAAAAAUUGUCUUGAAGUUGACCACAGGCAUAAAGAACUAUUAUGCACUCAUGAUUGAUGCAAAUCUAGGGAAAACUGAAGACAAACAGACAAACUGAAGACUACCUGAUACCCUCAUCAGUGAUUGGAUUGUCACUUAUAUCUAAACUUCUCAAAUUCGACAUCUUUGCUAGAAUAUUGCAUACAACCUCCAUGUCACCCUCCUGCAAAUUGUUUCCCCUGACAUGACAAGUAUUAUGAUAUAUUUUAAUACACAAGCCAUGCGGAACUUCAAAAGGGAAGUGGUGACAAAGGUUUCUAAUUAUGACGACUUGACGGGUGCUGAAAGAGAACAGGUAAUACCUUAGGUUAAGAACAGUCAAGGAGCUCAAGGAUGUAUUUGACUUCAGUGCUGAUGAGAAACUUGUAGAACCUCUGUCUACAGUAGAACGCCAGCCUGCAAGCUAUAAAAGAGAGAUUAUUUGGGUCCAAAAGACAUAUAUCAAAGAAGAAAAGGUUCUUGUGUGAACCCACGUUGUUUUCUGACAAGUCAAGCGUUUGUAAACCAGAGGAAGAUUCAAGGAGAGUAUGAAUAAUCAUCUUAGCAAAUGAUGGCUGCAUCUUAGCAUCGUUAAAUGACAGCAACUGCAGCGACCUGAACAAUAGUUAUAAGAAUAAAACAGUGUUAAUACGCACCCAAUCUUUUUGGCAACCAGUUUGCUGCAUAUACCAAUCUUAAAUCCCAAACAACCGAAUAGGUUGGAGAUGCAGGCAUGAGAUUGCGAGGACAAAACUUCCUUUGAAUGACAGGAUAAAUAUAUGUGAUUUUUUUCACUUCUACAUGUCGUUACUCGCUUAUCCUUACCUUUCUUUUUUUACAUUCUAGUCUGUUCUACUGCUCUCUGCUUUAAGAUGAAUGAACUGCCGUGUAUUGUCCACAGGUGUGACAUGAUACUCUGAAUAAAAUAAUGCAAACUGUUUUUUCAUGUAAAAUAGGUAAAGUUCAACAUGACUGAAUCUGGCACUGCUUUUCAUUUUCCGGUUGAACCCAGUCAUAUCAGGUUUUUGAACAGGACCUUGAACGGCCAAACUAGCUGUGCCUCCUAUUCCACACAACCCUCAAAAUGGUGUUAAAUCUUCCCAGUGUUAGGAGAGAGUAUUUACUUCAAUAAUGUAUGUGAAGCAUAAACUAACCAAUACAACAUGUGAACAAUAGUAAAUUAUUGCUCUGUUGCAACGCACGGUUGCUCAAGCUUUGGAGGGGCGUAGAUGGGUUUCCGACAUCGAGGGUACUCUUACUGUGCAAGUAUUAAUUGAAUGUAUCUCCAUUUAUGGGACCUGGUAGCUGGUUUUACUCUGCAGCAGUACAGUCCUGAUCAACACAUUUGGAGGUUUACUCGGUCAGGUCAUUAUACAAGCAAAUCAGGAUACGAGCUAUUUUUUUUCCUUGGCUCUAUUAAGUUUGCACCAUGCAAAAGAAUUUGGAAACCCUGGGCUCCCCUACACUGCAUUUUUUUUUGUGGCCUGCCAUUAACAAUCACUGCUGGACUGCGGAUCGGCUCUCUAAGCAUGGACAUCCACACCCGGGUGCCUGCCCCUUGUGUGAUCAAGCUGAAGAGACGAUUCAACACCUGUUUGUCGCAUGUGUCUUUGCUCGGCAAAUCUGGGCACUCAUCCUCCAAAUGAUUGGACUUGCUCUAUCCGGCCGCAAGAUUCGAUCACGCGCCAUUGUGGCAAACCUUUCUAUGAGCUGCUUCUCCAACUGGUGGUACAGAGCUCCAGAGGGUGUUUGCUAAGGAGCGCAGAGAAGGGCAUAAUUCUAAUAUUGGUUGCUUUGUGCAUCUGGAAACACAGGAAUGACUAUGUCUUUAGGUGCACAACCAAGGAUUCCCGUAGUGCUACUUGAAGUUGCCAGUGAGAGUGCCCUUUGGUGCUUGGAUGGGGCUGCUGCACUCCAGGUUUUGCUCCUAAGGUCGCUUACACUGGACAUGUAGUCCGUUUUGUGUGAGUCGGCCACUGUAUCUAAAGUGUCGCAAGCGUUUGCGCGUACCCUGGUCGUGUGUGGGUGUGUUUGGGGUGGAGAUUGGAUUUAUUCCCUAACCCUCCCUUUUGCACUCCUUAAUGAAAUGACACAGCUCUCCUACGCAUUCGAGAAAAAAAAAA
Molecule: long non-coding RNA, 7303 nt
Filed under: Triticum aestivum (bread wheat)
Lineage: Eukaryota; Viridiplantae; Streptophyta; Magnoliopsida; Poales; Poaceae
Description: long non-coding RNA (TAES_LNC023629)
Source: RNAcentral